GUGAUGGGAACACUUCAGGCUCAAUUUAGGAAAGUGAAUGCUUGAAUAAGCACAGGCUUCCUCUAAGCACCUCCUAAAUGCCCUGCAAAUAUGCACCUUUGUAACGAUUCCUUCUCUGCAAUGAUCCCAGAAUGGGCAGUAAAUUGCAUGAAGGUGAAGGAAAAAUGAGUUGAAAGCAAGCCAAGGAGGAGCAGAGGAGCAAGGCAAGUAUCACGAAGAUGAGGGACCCAUGGGAACUGGUAACACCAAGGAGAAGGUAAAGAAGCAGCAGAUUUAUGACCAGCUGGUGAGAAGGCAGGUGGAGCAUGGUCUGGGAAGCUUCUGGAGGAGUGUCCUGUGGGUUAUAAAUGAAGGUGAGGGAGAUGGGAGACCUGGGCAGAAAACGGGGGUAACAGAAGCCAGUGGGGCUACUUGGAGUGAAGGUCAGUGAUGGGCUUGCAGCUGGAACCUUUUUCUCCAGCAUACAAAAUCCAUCAGUGCCACCAUACUUUGUAAACAUUUCUUGGCUUUGCCAAGUUGUUCAUAUCAGAAGCGAAGCAAAGAAGCUAAGAAGAAAAAAAGUUUUCUCAGUAUUUUAAAAUGAAACAUUAGUUCCAAAUGUCUACCCUUGGAUGCUCCCUUCACUCGUUAAAAAGAAAGAGAGAGAGAGAGAGAAAUGUUCAUGCAAAGCAAAAUCUGUUCCUUGUUGAUUCAAUGUUUCAUUAUUAUAGAAAUAUUUUGCUAUUUUUUGGAAAUAUUAAGACUAUUCUGGUCUCUUUAUUUUGGAUUCAGGCACUGCCAGCAAGGCAAGAGGAAAUGUUAAGGCCUUCAGUUAUUUGCCUUCUGGAAAUACCCCCUUAGUCUGAGGCUGGGCCUAAAAGCAAAAAUUCUGGGAUGGGGCUUUGGGGGUGGGUGGUUUGGUAGUCUGGAUAAAACGUGGUACGUAUGGGUUCAAAAUGGGGUUGAACCUGAGGGUGGUCAGGCACGGAGACAACGCUUGUGGCUCAGGCAGGGUGUCAGCUGCAGGCCUGGAGGCCAGGAGGAAUUUGUGGGAAGCAUUGCUGUGUGUGUGUCCUAUUUUUAUACUUCUCCUGAGUCAUCUGUAUUCCCAGUGCUGGAGAGUGUACUGGAUUAGAUGCACUUUCGGUCUGACCAAGAGGUCACACUCACAUUCUUGUUUCAAGCUUUUAUGAAGACAGAGGAAACAGGUAGGGAAUGACAAGUAACCCAGGCAGUCUUUCUACUUGUGCAGUUUAUUUUUCCACACACACACACUCUUCUGCCUUGAGCAUCUUUCCAGUGAAGGCAUUAAGCCAGUUUAUGAGGUGAGUGAGACUGGUGAGAAUAUUAGAAUGGUGCAAUUAGAGUUAAUUAGAUGUGCUGAAAUGAAGUAAUGAAUCUGGAUUUCCAACACCCACAUAAGCACACCACAGAUGAAAAGAAAAGGGAGAAAUCCUGUGAUAAGGAGUUUUGAGAGGCAUCAUUAAGAUAUACCGACUACUGAGCCUUUUCAGGCAGAAUGGGUUCAACAUGUAAUGCAGGUAAGCAAAACACUGGGUAAUUUAGACUAGAAGGAGCUUCUGGAGGUCCACCCUCCAGGCACAAAGCAGGGCCAGCUGAAGAAGGUUGCUCAGGGCUACACCUGGUCAAGUUCUGAAUUUAUCUCCAGAGGUGGAGUUUCCUCACUUCUCUUAACAUCUAUUUCAGCGUUUGACCACCAACAUGAUGAGAAAAAUAACCUAGCAAGAGAAAGAAAAUGAGAUACAAGCAAGAUGCUGGUGCUAUGGUAUGCAAUCUAUGGUGCUGAGGAUCCCAGAUCUAUGGCAGUCACUCUGAAUGACGUCCCCUUUGUCACCAUGUGGUAUGUUCCUGGAGCACAUCUUACUGUCUGGUUUUGUCUUAAAAAGUCUGCUUUGCAGGCUCCUAAAGCUCUGUGAGAGGAGCAGCUGGGGAAUUUUUCAAAUGUGGACUCCUGCCUUGGAUUAACAUCCCAGUGUGCAUGUUCAACAUCGGCUGUACUAUCCCCUCCGAGGCAGUGUUACUCAACACACGCUUUAUAGCUGAGCAAAUUCCUGAGUGCUUUUUAGGGCUAGGCCUGCAGGGGCUUGUAAAUCUUCCCUUGGACUCUCAUUAGCGCUUCCCUCUCUGCCCUUGUUUGCUCCCACAGGGGCCAUGACAAGAAGGCCGUGUGAGAUAAGCAGUACACACUGGGACACUCUGCUGCAGCUUUUCGUGAGAGCAGCUCCACACAGCAGCUCACUGAGUUCAGAUGAAGGCAAUGAAGGGUGUCUGAAGACUAUUUAUUUUUUAAUUUUAUUUUUAAUAAUUAUUUUUAGUUCCAUGGCUCAGCUGUUUCUCCUGGGAAGAGUAAGCCUCUGUGUGAGAUUACAUCAGCUGAACUUUCCAAAUGAUAUUUUAAUAACACUUUACAAUAAAAAAAAAAAAAAAAAAAAA
Molecule: non-coding RNA, 2433 nt
Organism: Anas platyrhynchos (mallard)
Lineage: Eukaryota; Metazoa; Chordata; Aves; Anseriformes; Anatidae
Source: RefSeq, a predicted model, not a curated record